UACGGAGGGGGCUAGCGUUGUUCGGAAUUACUGGGCGUAAAGCGCACGUAGGCGGCUUUGUAAGUUAGAGGUGAAAGCCCGGGGCUCAACUCCGGGAAUUGCCUUUAAGACUGCAUCGCUAGAAUUGUGGAGAGGUAAGUGGAAUUCCGAGUGUAGAGGUGAAAUUCGUAGAUAUUCGGAAGAACACCAGUGGCGAAGGCGACUUACUGGACACAUAUUGACGCUGAGGUGCGAAAGCGUGGGGAGCAAACAGG
RNAcentral lists this ribosomal RNA (254 nucleotides) under uncultured bacterium. RNAcentral describes it as "partial 16S ribosomal RNA". It matches the Rfam family "Bacterial small subunit ribosomal RNA", at positions 524 to 776 of the family's 1533-position model. The record is from RNAcentral.